Molecule: ribosomal RNA, 456 nt
Filed under: uncultured bacterium
Lineage: Bacteria
Description: bacterial SSU rRNA
Rfam family: Bacterial small subunit ribosomal RNA
Source: RNAcentral
UACGGGAGGCAGCAGUAGGGAAUCUUCCGCAAUGGACGAAAGUCUGACGGAGCAACGCCGCGUGAACGAUGAAGGCUUUCGGGUCGUAAAGUUCUGUUGUUAGGGAAGACAAGUACCAGAGUAACUGCUGGUACCUUGACGGUACCUAACCAGAAAGCCACGGCUAACUACGUGCCAGCAGCCGCGGUAAUACGUAGGUGGCAAGCGUUGUCCGGAAUUAUUGGGCGUAAAGCGCGCGCAGGUGGUCCUUUUAAGUCUGAUGUGAAAGCCCACGGCUCAACCGUGGAGGGUCAUUGGAAACUGGGGGACUUGAGUGCAGAAGAGGAAAGUGGAAUUCCACGUGUAGCGGUGAAAUGCGUAGAGAUGUGGAGGAACACCAGUGGCGAAGGCGACUUUUCUGGUCUGUAACUGACACUGAGGCGCGAAAGCGUGGGGAGCGAACAGGGAUUAGAUACC